GACGAACGCUGGCGGCGUGCUUAACACAUGCCAGUCGAACGAAGAGCGCUGGAAGCUUGCUUCUCUCAAUCUUAGUGGCGAACGGGUGAGUAACGCGUAAUCAACCUGCCCUUCAGAGGGGGACUACAGUCGGAAACGACUUCUAAUACCGCAUACGAUCUAAUCUCGGCAUCGAGGCUAGAUGAAAGCUGGCCUCUACAUGUAAGCUCUCACUGAAGGAGGAGCUUGCGACUGAUUAGCUAGUUGGAGGGGUAACGGCGCACCAAGGCGAGGCUCAGUAGCCGGUCGGAGAGGAGGCAAGGCAACACUGGGACGGAGACACGGCCAAGACUACUACGGGAGGGAGCAGGGGGGGAUUUUUCGGAAAGGAAGCAAGGCGGAAGGAGCAACGCCGCGGGAGAGAUGAAGGCCGUCGGGUUGUAAAGGUCGGUUAAUCGGGAGGAAAGGACUUCUUGCGAAUAGGGAGAAGGAUUGACGGUACCGGAAGAGAAAGCCACGGCUAACUACGUG
Molecule: ribosomal RNA, 510 nt
Filed under: uncultured bacterium
Lineage: Bacteria
Description: partial 16S ribosomal RNA
Rfam family: Bacterial small subunit ribosomal RNA
Source: RNAcentral